Long non-coding RNA from Photinus pyralis (common eastern firefly), 686 nucleotides. RefSeq lists it as uncharacterized. NCBI's taxonomy places the organism in Eukaryota, Metazoa, Arthropoda, Insecta, Coleoptera, Lampyridae. The transcript is spliced from 3 exons. The record is from RefSeq and is a predicted model, not a curated record.
UUCAACAUGAUCACGUAUUGAUUAAUAUGAAUCGCGUUUAAUAGAAUAAAAAUGGAGAGCUUUCUCUAGUCUUGCACCCGAUCGUAAUUUCUAACAUUUCGCAAUUUCUUUUAUGCAAUUGUCGCAAUAUUAGCUAAACUGUUAAUGGUCAACAAUUUGUUACACUUCAAGUACAUUUUCGUACUCUUCUGAUGGCGCAUCACUGUACAAAGAAAUAAAACCCAUGGCUUAGAUGUUCGGUUUCAAGAAAAAGCUAUCCUGGCUUAGAACAUGUAAACGUGAUCGUUACCAGGUGUCUUGUAUUGUAAUUUGUAAGGUCGAGUGGAAUUGAUCAACGUGCUUCCCAAUUCCCUAUCCUCCCCAUUAUGCUUCGAGAGACCGCUAAGAAACUUUUGGGCGCCCGAAGUCGAUUACACCUUGAAGACGCGCGCCUCUAGGACGAAAAACAUAAUUCCGCCGCGCGGGAGUUGUGCGCUUUUACAUUUACAAGACCUUUCCAACGACACCAAUUUGAAAACAAUCGGACGAAAACUGUAGAAGAUAGGAAAAACUGAUAAAUCUCCAGAUUCUAUUUUGGAGAAACGGCACCCACGCGCGGAAAAUAUACGAGUACAUAGUCGAGCGGAUUUAACGCUGCCAUCCUAAAUUAGAAAAAAAUCGUCUUGUUUCAUCGUAGGCACCAGUCC